Molecule: ribosomal RNA, 472 nt
Filed under: uncultured bacterium
Lineage: Bacteria
Description: bacterial SSU rRNA
Rfam family: Bacterial small subunit ribosomal RNA
Source: RNAcentral
CCUGGCUCAGGAUUAACGCUGGCGGCGUGCCUAAUACAUGCAAGUCGAAUGGUAGCAAUACCAUGGCGAACGGGUGAGUAACACGUAGGUAACCUGUCUUUAAGCCGAGGAUAACCAUUGGAAACGAUGGAUAAUACUGGAUAGGACAUUUGUAGGCAUCUUUAGAUGUUUAAAGAUUUAUCACUUAGAGAGGGGCCUGCGGCGCAUUAGCUAGUUGGUGAGGUGAAGGCUUACCAAGGCGAUGAUGCGUAGCCGGACUGAGAGGUUGAACGGCCACAAUGGAACUGAGAACGGUCCAUACUCCUACGGGAGGCAGCAGUAGGGAAUUUUCGGCAAUGGGCGGAAGCCUGACCGAGCAACGCCGCGUGAACGAAGAAGUAUUUCGGUAUGUAAAGUUCUUUUAUUAGGGACGAAAAGACAGAUUGACGGUACCUAAUGAAUAAGCUCCGGCUAACUACGUGCCAGCAGCCGC